GACGAACGCUGGCGGCGUGCCUAAUACAUGCAAGUAGAACGCUGAAGGAGGAGCUUGCUUCUCUGGAUGAGUUGCGAACGGGUGAGUAACGCGUAGGAACCUUCCCGGGAGCGGGGGGUUACCUAUUGAAACGAAUACCUAUAACGCAUUAUUAGAGAAUGUUCCUUACCAUUUCUUAAAAGGUUCAAUUUCAUUACUACCCGAUGGACCUGCGUUGUAUUAGCUAGUUGGUGGGGUAACGGCUCACCAAGGCGACGAUACAUAGCCGACCUGAGAGGGUGAUCGGCCACACUGGGACUGAGACACGGCCCAGACUCCUACGGGAGGCAGCAGUAGGGAAUCUUCGGCAAUGGACGGAAGUCUGACCGAGCAACGCCGCGUGAGUGAAGAAGGUUUUCGGAUCGUAAAGCUCUGUUGUAAGAGAAGAACGAGUGUGAGAGUGGAAAGUUCACACUGUGACGGUAUCUUACCAGAAAGGGACGGCUAACUACGUG
RNAcentral lists this ribosomal RNA (494 nucleotides) under uncultured bacterium. RNAcentral describes it as "partial 16S ribosomal RNA". It matches the Rfam family "Bacterial small subunit ribosomal RNA", at positions 28 to 507 of the family's 1533-position model. The record is from RNAcentral.